Molecule: ribosomal RNA, 427 nt
Filed under: uncultured bacterium
Lineage: Bacteria
Description: partial 16S ribosomal RNA
Rfam family: Bacterial small subunit ribosomal RNA
Source: RNAcentral
UGGGGAAUAUUGCACAAUGGGCGCAAGCCUGAUGCAGCCAUGCCGCGUGUAUGAAGAAGGCCUUCGGGUUGUAAAGUACUUUCAGCGGGGAGGAAGGUGUUGAGGUUAAUAACCUCAGCAAUUGACGUUACCCGCAGAAGAAGCACCGGCUAACUCCGUGCCAGCAGCCGCGGCAAUACGGAGGGUGCAAGCGUUAAUCGGAAUUACUGGGCGUAAAGCGCACGCAGGCGGUCUGUCAAGUCGGAUGUGAAAUCCCCGGGCUCAACCUGGGAACUGCAUUCGAAACUGGCAGGCUAGAGUCUUGUAGAGGGGGGUAGAAUUCCAGGUGUAGCGGUGAAAUGCGUAGAGAUCUGGAGGAAUACCGGUGGCGAAGGCGGCCCCCUGGACAAAGACUGACGCUCAGGUGCGAAAGCGUGGGGAGCAAACA